Molecule: unclassified non-coding RNA, 207 nt
Filed under: uncultured Agaricaceae
Lineage: Eukaryota; Fungi; Basidiomycota; Agaricomycetes; Agaricales; Agaricaceae
Description: sequence contains ITS2
Source: RNAcentral
AAUUCUCAACCUCUUCAGCAUUUGGUGCUGGCUUUGAGGCUUGGAUAAUGGAGGUGUUGCAGGCCUUUCCAGGUCAGCUCCUCUGAAAAACAUUAGCGGAACGGUUUGCAAAUCCGUCACAGGUGUUGAUAAUUAUCUAUGCCAGUGGAUUGCUCUCUGUCUUGUUCAGCUGCCAACUUGUCCCAUAUAGGACAAACAUCACUGAAU